AAACCAACAGGGAUUGCCUUAGUAGCGGCGAGUGAAGCGGCAAAAGCUCAAAUUUGAAAUCUGGCACCUUCGGUGUCCGAGUUGUAAUUUGAAGAUUGUAACCUUGGGGUUGGCUCUUGUCUAUGUUUCUUGGAACAGGACGUCACAGAGGGUGAGAAUCCCGUGCGAUGAGAUGCCCAAUCCUAUGUAAGGUGCUUUCGAAGAGUCGAGUUGUUUGGGAAUGCAGCUCUAAGUGGGUGGUAAAUUCCAUCUAAAGCUAAAUAUUGGCGAGAGACCGAUAGCGAACAAGUACAGUGAUGGAAAGAUGAAAAGAACUUUGAAAAGAGAGUGAAAAAGUACGUGAAAUUGUUGAAAGGGAAGGGUUUGAGAUCAGACUCGAUAUUUUGUGAGCCUUGCCUUCGUGGCGGGGUGACCCGCAGCUUAUCGGGCCAGCAUCGGUUUGGGCGGUAGGAUAAUGGCGUAGGAAUGUGACUUUGCUUCGGUGAAGUGUUAUAGCCUGCGUUGAUGCUGCCUGCCUAGACCGAGGACUGCGAUUUUAUCAAGGAUGCUGGCAUAAUGAUCCCAAACCGCCGUCUUGAAACACGGACCAAGUCUAACGUCUAUGCGAGUGUUUGGGUGUUAAACCCGUACGCGUAAUGAAAGUGAACGUAGGUGAGGGCUCUUUUGAGUGCAUCAUCGACCGAUCCUGAUGUCUUCGGAUGGAUUUGAGUAAGAGCAUAGCUGUUGGGACCCGAAAG
Molecule: ribosomal RNA, 737 nt
Filed under: [Candida] sp. GLH-2008
Lineage: Eukaryota; Fungi; Ascomycota; Saccharomycetes; Saccharomycetales
Description: eukaryotic LSU rRNA
Rfam family: Eukaryotic large subunit ribosomal RNA
Source: RNAcentral